AUUGCCUCAGUAACGGCGAGUGAAGCGGCAACAGCUCAAAUUUGAAAUCUGGCUCUUUCAGGGUCCGAGUUGUAAUUUGUAGAAGAUGCUUCGGGUGUGGUUCCGGUCUAAGUUCCUUGGAACAGGACGUCAUAGAGGGUGAGAAUCCCGUAUGUGACCGGCUACCUUCGCUCAUGUGAAGCUCUUUCGACGAGUCGAGUUGUUUGGGAAUGCAGCUCAAAAUGGGUGGUAAAUUUCAUCUAAAGCUAAAUAUUGGCCAGAGACCGAUAGCGCACAAGUAGAGUGAUCGAAAGAUGAAAAGCACUUUGGAAAGAGAGUUAAAUAGUACGUGAAAUUGUUGAAAGGGAAGCGCUUGCAAUCAGACUUGCACGCAGUUGAUCAUCCGGUGUUCUCACCGGUGCACUCUGCUGCGUUCAGGCCAGCAUCGGUUCUGGUGGUUGGAUAAAGGCCUUGGGAAUGUAGCUCCUUUCGGGGAGUGUUAUAGCCCUCGGUGCAAUGCAGCCUACCGGGACCGAGGACCGCGCUUCGGCUAGGAUGCUGGCGUAAUGGUUGUAAGCGACCCGUCUUGAAACACGGACCAAGGAGUCUAACAUCUAUGCGAGUGUUUGGGUGUCAAACCCAUACGCGUAAUGAAAGUGAACGGAGGUGAGAACCCUUAAGGGUGCAUCAUCGACCGAUCCUGAUGUCUUCGGAUGGAUUUGAGUAAGAGCAUAGCUGUUGGGACCCGAAAGAUGGUGAACUAUGCGUGAAUAGGGUGAAGCCAGAGGAAACUCUGGUGGAGGCUCGCAGCGGUUCUGACGUGCAAAUCGAUCGUCAAAUUUGCGCAUAGGGGCGAAAGACU
RNAcentral lists this ribosomal RNA (841 nucleotides) under Rhytismatales sp. RNAcentral describes it as "partial large subunit ribosomal RNA". It matches the Rfam family "Eukaryotic large subunit ribosomal RNA", at positions 74 to 932 of the family's 3401-position model. The record is from RNAcentral. Lineage: Eukaryota; Fungi; Ascomycota; Leotiomycetes; Rhytismatales.